Molecule: unclassified non-coding RNA, 240 nt
Filed under: soil metagenome
Description: partial contains 5.8S ribosomal RNA, internal transcribed spacer 2, and large subunit ribosomal RNA
Source: RNAcentral
AACACUGUUAACCUGCGGUACCUGCGGAAGGAUCAUUACAGAGUUGCAAAACUCCCUAAACCAUUGUGAACGUUACCUAAACCGUCGCUUCGGCGGGCGGCCCGGGUCCUUCCCGGCGCCCCUCGGCCCUCGCGGGCGCCCGCCGGAGGUAAACCAAACUAUUGCAUUGUAUGGCCUCUCUGAGUCUUCUGUACUGAAUAAGUCAAAACUUUCAACAACGGAUCUCAGAUCGGAAGAGCA